This 404-nucleotide ribosomal RNA is filed under the name uncultured bacterium. Its description in RNAcentral is "bacterial SSU rRNA". It matches the Rfam family "Bacterial small subunit ribosomal RNA", at positions 355 to 776 of the family's 1533-position model. The record is from RNAcentral.
UGGGGAAUAUUGCACAAUGGGGGGAACCCUGAUGCAGCAACGCCGCGUGAGUGAAGAAGUGAUUCGUUAUGUAAAGCUCUAUCAGCAGGGAAGAAAAUGACGGUACCUGAGUAAGCAGCCCCCGCUAACCACGCGUCAGCAGCCGCGGUAAUACGUAGGGGGCAAGCGUUAUCCGGAUUUACUGGGUGUAAAGGGAGCGUAGACGGCCACGCAAGUCUGAAGUGAAAUGCCAGUGCUCAACACUGGAACUGCUUUGGAAACUGUGAGGCUGGAGUGCAGGAGAGGUAAGUGGAAUUCCUAGUGUAGCGGUGAAAUGCGUAGAUAUUAGGAGGAACACCAGUGGCGAAGGCGGCUUACUGGACUGUAACUGACGUUGAGGCUCGAAGGCGUGGGGAGCAAACAGG